AUUAAGGCCAACCCCAGAGGCCCUGGCAAGGCUGACUGCUGUUAAAACUGGACUGUUCUCCUUCUGGUUCCUGGUUCAUUCUAGGUGCUGACAUUGUGUGGAAGAACUUUCCCGGACAUCCCUUUUAAUUCUCAGAAGCAGGCCACAAGGUAGGACGCCUGCCACAGCAUGGCUUGAUGAGUGGUGCCAUGUCUGUACCCAGGAUCCGAACCGGGAUCCGAACCGGUGAACCCCAGGCCGCCGAAGCAGAACGUGUACACUUAACCGCUGCGCCACCGGGCUGGCCCCUUUUCUUCUUGAAGGUAGCAAAUAAUGGCAACUGAUUAAAGUAGUCCAUAGUUCAUUACAUUUUUCCUUUUUAAAAAAUGGGAAUAGUUGUUCAAAGAAGACGCUUUAACCAUGAACGAAAGCUGAAUGUAAGCGGUGCAGUGUGAAAUCCCCAGUGCGCACGGCAAGCCUUUUGCUCCACCACCCAGAGCAGCAGGGCGCAGGGGGAUUUGUAUGUCAGGGAUAUCCACUAUCAGUGAUCCAGUGGGUAGCAGCUUUCCUUGCCUAAGACACAGAUGAUCCAUAAAUAUUUGUUGACAUUUUAUUCAUUCAACAAAUAUGUGCUGAGUGCCUCAUCUGUGUCAAUCAAGGAGUUGGGUGGUUGGGAUACAAAGAUGAAUCAAGCAGAGCCUCUGUGUGCUGCAUCCUGGGUAAUCAAUGCUUCACGAAAGGGGCAAAGGGUACUCUGGGAGCACGAAGGAGGGAAGGAUCAGUUCUAGCUACGGUGGCCAUGAAAUCUGGGAAUGUAGAUAUAUUAUUUCAUCCGUAUUUUAAUAUAAUUCCAAC
RNAcentral lists this long non-coding RNA (834 nucleotides) under Equus asinus (donkey). RNAcentral describes it as "lncRNA (ENSEASG00005025096.1)". The record is from RNAcentral. Lineage: Eukaryota; Metazoa; Chordata; Mammalia; Perissodactyla; Equidae.